Molecule: long non-coding RNA, 460 nt
Filed under: Homo sapiens (human)
Lineage: Eukaryota; Metazoa; Chordata; Mammalia; Primates; Hominidae
Description: non-protein coding lnc-NKX2-6-1:2
Source: RNAcentral
CCGCCCCGGCUCCUCUUGCGGUUCCCCCCGGCCUGCGCGGAGCUCCACCACCCGCCCUGGCGCCGGCGGCCCCGCGUCGUCAACAGCGCGAGGUGUCGGGUGGCCCAGGGUGUUUGGGCCGCACCGGGAGGCUGUUGGAAUGACAAGGACGUCCCCGGGGCCAAACGAAAACAACCCCACCCCCUGCGGCGCCACCCGGCUGGGAGCGGAGAGAGACUGACGGCGGAGGCGGGGGUCAGGGCGCGGACCCGGACCCCAGCCCCAUGGGGGACAGAGUCCAAAAAAACCGGCCGGGUGGAGGAUGCAGCCGGGCGUGGUGGCUACAAGGAAGUGCCCUGGUGUUAAGAACUCAGCCUCUGAAACCCGCCGCCCAGCUUCGAGUCAGCGACGUACUUUUGUUGUCCCGGCCUUAGUAUCCCCGCUGCAAUAAGAGGUACUCAGCUCAAACCAUCUGGGUGAG